UGGCGGUAUGCUUAACACAUGCAAGUCGAACGGAGCUUUUCGGAGCUUAGUGGCGGACGGGUGAGUAACGCGUGAGAAUCUGCCUUUUGGACCGGGACAACUGCGGGAAACGGCAGCUAAGACCGGAUGUGCCUUCGGGUGAAAUAUUCAUAGCCAAAAGAGGAGCUCGCGACCGAUUAGCUAGUUGGUGGGGUAAGAGCCUACCAAGGCUGCGAUCGGUAGCCGGUUUGAGAGGACGACCGGCCACACUGGGACUGAGACACGGCCCAGACUCCUACGGGAGGCAGCAGUGGGGAAUUUUCCGCAAUGGGCGAAAGCCUGACGGAGCAAUACCGCGUGAGGGAGGAAGGCUCUUGGGUCGUAAACCUCUUUUCUCAGGGAAGAAGCAAUGACGGUACCUGAGGAAUCAGCAUCGGCUAACUCCGUGCCAGCAGCCGCGGUAAUACGGAGGAUGCAAGCGUUAUCCGGAAUGAUUGGGCGUAAAGCGUCCGCAGGUGGCACAUCAAGUCUGCUGUCAAAGCCCCCAGCUUAACUGGGAAGAGGCGGUGGAAACUGGUGAGCUAGAGAGCAAUAGGGGUAGAGGGAAUUCCCGGUGUAGCGGUGAAAUGCGUAGAGAUCGGGAAGAACACCAGUGGCGAAAGCGCUCUACUAGGUUGCAACUGACACUGAGGGACGAAAGCUAGGGGAGCGAAUGGGAUUAGAUACCCCAGUAGUCCUAGCCGUAAACGAUGGAUACUAGGCGUUUCUCGUAUCGACCCGAG
Molecule: ribosomal RNA, 761 nt
Filed under: Chroococcidiopsis sp. L5
Lineage: Bacteria; Bacillati; Cyanobacteriota; Cyanophyceae; Chroococcidiopsidales; Chroococcidiopsidaceae
Description: bacterial SSU rRNA
Rfam family: Bacterial small subunit ribosomal RNA
Source: RNAcentral